Xyrichtys novacula (pearly razorfish) is the source of this 4314-nucleotide non-coding RNA. Lineage: Eukaryota; Metazoa; Chordata; Actinopteri; Labriformes; Labridae. The record is from the annotation of a GenBank genome assembly.
GGCAAAGGAGGCGGGACUUUCCCCCGGAAGUCUUCCCUGGAAUUCGUCUUUUUCCCCCCAGAAAUAUUUAUUGAUUUCGCAUUCCAUAUUCGUGUCGGCCCCGGUGUGUAAGGACCUUUAAAGGGGUAUUCCACUGUAAAAUUAAUUUAGGAAAUGAUCAUAAAUGUUCUUCCUUAACAAGAACAUCGCCACUCUGUUUAAUCCACAAGAACAAGCGGCUGCUGUAGGUGAGUUGUGUUUAGUCUCUUUGCUAAAGAAAUUGGUCAAAGUUAAAAAGAUGUUUGGUGGCUAGUACUAUGGCUGGGACCCUAUAUGUACUAUUGAUGAAGUUAGGUGCUGUUUUGAGCAUUAUUUGUGGCUAUAGAGUGGUGUUUUGGUUGAGGUGUGUUUAUGGCUCCUCAGACUGCUAUGUAUUGCUAUCCUGCGGUCGUUACUAAAGUUGUUAUAACUAGAGAAGCAAGCGGUCGGCAACAUUCAUCUUUGGAGGUGGAGUCUAAGGGGGGGUCUGUGUUACAGUGUGUUGGACCGAACUUAAUUUUACACCUGAAUAUCCCUUUAAUGUGCACCUCCCCUCAAAUAAAAUCAACCGAAAUGAGAAUCAAAGGCAGAACCCCUCUCUGCUUUAAAGACAUCUGAAAUUUACUUACACAUCUAUAUAUUAUAUAUAAAUUAUAAUAUUAACACUCAUUAACACAGUUACAGAUGAGACUAUUCAAGUUAUGGUGCUAAGGCUCAGACUGGUAUAGACUUAGAUUCUUAUAGACUCUCAUAGAUCAUCUACAGAAAGGGGCAGAGCCGCCUCUUUUGCCUGAGAAGACUCCAAUCUAUAGACAUCUGUAGUUAGAAACUGCAGAUGUUUUAUCAGUCUGUGGUGUAGAUCUACAGUGUUCUGUUCUACGCUGCAGUCUGCUGGGGAGGAAGCAACAAACACAAAGAUGAAGAUAAAGAAGGAUCGAGUAAGUUCUUGUAUUGAUUGAUCGGGGCUCACAAAAACAGAAUGUCAGACGGGUGACUUUAAAAACACAAAAAUCAGGUUUAUACUGGACUCAGACCAGACCUGGAGUGUGUGUGUGUGUGUGUGUGUGUGUGUGUGUGUGUGUGUGUGUGUGUGUGUGUGUUUAAAACUCAGACCAGAAGGACCAGAAGGACAGGAGAGGAAUGGUACCAUCUGGAAAAAUGCAGAGUGACUGCACACACACACGCACGCGCACGCACGCACGCACGCACACACACAGUGCUGGAGCCCCUCUGGGUGUUUGAGCAGUAAAGCAUCCUGGGAAAGCGACGGUCCAGCUGCUGCAGCCUGCAGCGUGUACAGACAGAGAAAAGCUGCACAUUAAAUCAGAGACAGAAAAUCCUGAGAGUCAAAACCAACGAGAGUCUGAGACCAACAGAUGAACAGAGGAAUUUAAAAAACAAACUGAAGAUUAACCACAUCGGGACAAAAUCAGAGAGUCUGAAACCAACAAAUCUGAGAAAAAAACGAAUUGAGAGUGAAUCUGAGAAAAAAACAGAUAGGAAAGUGUUAAUGACAAAAAAAAAAAACCACCUGAAAAAGACCUGGAUCAGAACCAGUCUAAAUCAGAACCAGAGCCUGAAACAGGAUCAACGUCUGAAUCAGAAUCAAAAUCAGGAUCUGAACCAGAUUCUGACCCUGAAUCAGAAAUCCAGUCCACAGGUGUAUUAAAGUUUCAGGUCAGCAGUUUUGCUCUCAGUGCUUGGGUCUGGAGGAGGACCUCAGUUUAAUCGCAGAGGAAGCCGUCGUUAGUCGUGGCGUGAAGAUUUAGAGCAAAGACACAAGGAGGAACAAACAAACAAACGAGCUUCAGUCUCACUUUCUCUCUCAGAUUUAGACUGACAUGAAUCAGAAAUCAACAUCAGUCCAUCUGAUUGGCUGUCCUCACCACUAAUCACACAGUCCAUUAUUACACAAAUGACAAUAAAAAUAAGGAUUACAAUUGAUCAAAUCUGUUAACACAAUGUCCUCAUAUCCAGCAGGGGGUGCCCUCUCUGGUUUUCUUUACUGAAAAAACAAACUGAACACUUUACUGAUUUUAACAAAACCUUAACUCAAUUUACUUUACAGAACUUUGUGUAACAAAAACCCAAAGUUAACAGCAUGACUCAGUCAGACUAAUUUGAGCUGAUCUAAUUUAUUAUGGUGCUAUCAGGUGAUCCAGACCAGAAAGUGGGAGUCAGACAGGUGAGACCUCACUCAGACAGGUGACGAACAUGGUGACCCAAAAACGAUCAGAAGUUCUUAAAUACUAAAAAAUACUUUGUUUAUGGCAGAGCAGUGGAUUAAACAGAGUGGCGACACUCCCAUAGGCAUACGCUGUACAGCCCGAUGGACCCCACUUCCGGGUUUUGGAACUCUCAAUAGUUCCAACAUGACCGCUUGUCAAGUCGGACGCCAUUCGCUUCUAUGGCCACAAGGCAAGCUCUCACCGAGGUUAAAUGAUAAAAUAUCAACAAGUUUAAUGCCAAGACGUGUGUUAUUGAUAUCGAGGGGACCCCUUUACAUGUAAAAAUGUAUGUCCCAAAUGUAAUUACGUUUUUUUAGUCAGGAAUUGGGAUCGAUUUUUUUAGCCACGGCUUGCUCUCACACUCCCCAAAGUAAAAUAUUGUAUCAACGAAUUUAAUGCCAAUACGUGUGUAAAUGGUAUCAAGGGACCCCUUUAUAUGUAAAAUGAUUUUAAUUUUAGUAUGCUCAAAUUGUAAUUACAAAUGUAACAACGUUUUCUUUAGUUAUUUUAGAAUUGGGAUCGAUUUUUUUAGCCACGGCCUGCUAGUUGGACGUCGUCAGCUGUAGAGGCCUGGCAAAAUUUAUUGUGUGACUGAGUUAUGAAUCACAGAUAAAUCAUCAUUAUCAAUCAUAUGUUGAGAUGGUUACUUACGGGCUUUAUUUUAGAUUUCAGCCUUUAUCAGUACCCAAUGGUAUGUGCAAUUUAUUCUUUUAAGACUAACAAAAGUGCUAUGUAAUUUGAUUUCUGCUUAUGUAUACCAUGGGAUGAUAGAGUAAAGGGACCGCUACUUUUUAAAUCCUGUCAGCAUUUAAGGCAUAUGUUUAACAAGACCAAAACAUAGCACAAUUGUUUAAACAGCUUGUAACACCUGUUACUUACCACUUUAUUGUAUUAUUUUCUCUUAUUAAAAAGUAACACCUGUUCCUAAACUUGCCUUAUUUCACUUUUAUUUGUCAUCCAGCCACUAAAUAUAUGUAAGUGACUUUGACGUGUACACAGUAAUCCAAUAAGAGUUGCAAAUGUUGACUUUUUACGGUUAAUUCUAAUAUUUACUUCUUAAAUGCGCGCUCACUGCAGUCUGUCCCAUUGAAGAGCAUGGACAGUGCAGGCUGCGCUUGGAACUAUUGAGGGGUACAUGAACCACGUGACCGCUCUGGCGGCAAGAUCUGAAGUUGUCGCCACUCGGUUUAAUCCACUGCUCUGGUUAACGGUGAAGACUUUUUCCAUGUUUAUAGAUUGGCUGAAAUUUUAUUAUAUUUAUUGAAACAAACAGGACCAUCAGAAAAAAGACUGACUGAUUUUUAAUGAGGUUGUAGCUGUAGUGGCCCAAUGCCUUAAAAAAGCUUUCUCCUUUUUCCCCUCCUUUGUGUCUGUUUGUUGGAAUGGCUUCCUUUUCACAGUCAUCACAUGCGCAAGAUUUCAAAAAACAAAUUCUUGGAGAGCUGGAAGCUGAAGUUGCCUUGUGUUUUAUUGCAAACGUAAAUAUGUGAAUGAAUGAAUAACAUAGAUUAUUUAAACAAUAAAUCCCAGCUUAAAAGCCUGCAGUUGAUGACAAUUGGAGCUGUGAGCCGUCAUCUGGCCUUGGGUCAGCUGCUUCUACUUAUAGGUGAGUGCGCCCUCACCACCUGCGGAGGGCGCAUACAAAAUUAAAGGUCAACAAAAACAAAAUUCAGCUAUGUUAAUAAAAACUCCAAUGUGGCUCCUACAGUAGACGUCGGUCAAACAUCCUGUUUUUACGAUGAAUUUGACCAUCAAACGUCAUCAGGACAAGGACUCAGAGAAGAAAAGACUGAUUUAGUCAUCAGCACCAGAACUGAAACACACCAAAAUACAACCUUUUUUACGUCUGUAUGUUUGUGUAUUUUUUUGUCUUCCCCAGCUCUGCCCAGGUGGACCUGAAGGGUCCAGAACCAGGACCUGCAGGAGGACGAGGCUUUAGGACCUCCUGCCCCUCAUUUAGGGGAUCUAGGUCUUUGGGUUCUUGGUGUUGGAGUUAAUUCGUUAAUUUGUUCUUGAGUUGAUCGACGUGAAUUCUUUGUUUAUAAUAAAUCACCAGGUGAACUUUUAA